UACCUUUGCAACAUUGAUUGGUUCACACCAUCGUGAUUAAAAGGGAAACGGGUGAGAAUCCCGUACAGUCCCGCUGCUGUGAGCUGUCAUUGUUGAGACGGACACAUAAAAGCCACUGGCACAUUUUUCAGCCGGGAAGGCCGUCCCUCUUGCGACAGCGAAGUCAGAAGACCUGCCGUCAAUUAAUGUUUAAU
Non-coding RNA from Prevotella sp. CAG:1058, 194 nucleotides. Lineage: Bacteria; Pseudomonadati; Bacteroidota; Bacteroidia; Bacteroidales; Prevotellaceae. The record is from Rfam.